RNAcentral lists this ribosomal RNA (446 nucleotides) under uncultured soil bacterium. RNAcentral's name for it is "bacterial SSU rRNA". It matches the Rfam family "Bacterial small subunit ribosomal RNA", at positions 26 to 518 of the family's 1533-position model. The record is from RNAcentral.
AGAACGAACGCUGGCGGCAUGCCUAAUACAUGCAAGUCGAACGAACACUUCGGUGUUAGUGGCGCACGGGUGCGUAACGCGUGGGAAUCUGCCCUUGGGUUCGGAAUAACAGUUGGAAACGACUGCUAAUACCGGAUGAUAUCGAAAGAUCAAAGAUUUAUCGCCCAGGGAUGAGCCCGCGUAGGAUUAGCUAGUUGGUGAGGUAAAGGCUCACCAAGGCGACGAUCCUUAGCUGGUCUGAGAGGAUGAUCAGCCACACUGGGACUGAGACACGGCCCAGACUCCUACGGGAGGCAGCAGUAGGGAAUAUUGGACAAUGGGCGCAAAGCCUGAUCCAGCAAUGCCGCGUGAGUGAUGAAGGCCUUAGGGUUGUAAAGCUCUUUUACCCGAGAUGAUAAUGACAGUAUCGGAGAAUAAGCCCCGGCUAACUCCGUGCCAGCAGCCGC